UUGGCAACGAACGAUAUUCUUUCCAGACAUCUUUCGAUUUUGUACGCCAUAAAAACUUUACAGUGAUGAAAAGAUGAGAUCAAGCUGGUAUACAUGUCAAUUAGCACUAUCAUGAACACUUUACAAGAUAGAUGUAUUUUUCAAUCGGCAUCUCCUUCCUCAUCGACGUACAAGACACAUAAGUCU
Non-coding RNA from Caenorhabditis elegans, 186 nucleotides. The record is from Ensembl. NCBI's taxonomy places the organism in Eukaryota, Metazoa, Nematoda, Chromadorea, Rhabditida, Rhabditidae.